AAAAAGCAAAUCCUAGGUUUCCGUGUCCAACUUUGACCGUUUGUCUUAUUUAAAAAAAUUAUAAAAAAAAUUAAAAAGACAAUUCACACAUAAAGUAUUAAUCAUGUUUUAUCAUCUAACAACAAUAAAAAUACUAAUUAUAAAAAAAUUCCAUAUAAAACGGACAGUCAAACGUUGGACACGGAAAUCCAGGGUUUGUCUUUGU
Molecule: microRNA precursor, 205 nt
Organism: Oryza sativa Japonica Group (Japanese rice)
Lineage: Eukaryota; Viridiplantae; Streptophyta; Magnoliopsida; Poales; Poaceae
Rfam family: MIR812 microRNA precursor family
Source: Rfam